Molecule: ribosomal RNA, 379 nt
Filed under: uncultured eukaryote
Lineage: Eukaryota
Description: partial 18S ribosomal RNA
Rfam family: Eukaryotic small subunit ribosomal RNA
Source: RNAcentral
CAAUAGCGUAUAUUAAAGUUGUUGCGGUUAAAAAGCUCGUAGUUGGAUUUCUGCCGAGGACGACCGGUCCGCCCUCUGGGUGAGUAUCUGGCUCGGCCUGGGCAUCUUCUUGGAGAACGUAGCUGCACUUGACUGUGUGGUGCGGUAUCCAGGACUUUUACUUUGAGGAAAUUAGAGUGUUUCAAGCAGGCUUACGCCUUGAAUACAUUAGCAUGGAAUAAUAAGAUAGGACCUCGGUUCUAUUUUGUUGGUUUCUAGAGCUGAGGUAAUGAUUAAUAGGGAUAGUUGGGGGCAUUCGUAUUUAACUGUCAGAGGUGAAAUUCUUGGGUUUGUUAAAGACGGACUACUGCGAAAGCAUUUGCCAAGGAUGUUUNCAUUG